RNAcentral lists this ribosomal RNA (519 nucleotides) under uncultured eukaryote. Its description in RNAcentral is "SSU rRNA". It matches the Rfam family "Eukaryotic small subunit ribosomal RNA", at positions 1161 to 1706 of the family's 1831-position model. The record is from RNAcentral.
AGGGCACCACCAGGAGUGGAUCCUGCGGCUCAAUUUGACUCAACACGGGAAAGCUCACCUGGUCCGGACACUGGAAGGAUUGACAGAUUAAGAGCUCUUUCUUGAUUCAGUGGGUGGUGGUGCAUGGCCGUUCUUAGUUGGUGGAGCGAUUUGUCUGGUUAAUUCCGAUAACGAACGAGACUCUAGCCUACUAAAUAGGUGUUCCGAUCCCAUCAGUCGGACGCUCUUCUUAGAGGGACAAGCGGCGUUUAGCCGCACGAGACAGAGCAAUAACAGGUCUGUGAUGCCCUUAGAUGUCCGGGGCCGCACGCGCGCUACACUGAAGGAACCAGCGUGUGUCCCUGUCCGGCAGGACUGGGUAAUCCGUUGAACCUCCUUCGUGAUAGGGAUAGGGGCUUGCAAUUGUUCCCCUUGAACGAGGAAUUCCCAGUAAGCGUGAAUCAUCAGUUCACGUUGAUUACGUCCCUGGCCUUUGUACACACCGCCCCGUCGCUACUACUGAUUGGAUGAUUAAUGAGG